UACGGAGGGGGCUAGCGUUGUUCGGAAUUACUGGGCGUAAAGCGCGCGUAGGCGGACCUGCAAGUCGGGGGUGAAAGCCCGAGGCUCAACCUCGGGCCUGCAGUCGAUACGGGCAAACUAGAGUACUGCAGGGGAGACUGGAAUUCCUGGUGUAGCGGUGAAAUGCGCAGAUAUCAGGAGGAACACCGGUGGCGAAGGCGGGUCUCUGGGCAGUAACUGACGCUGAGGAGCGAAAGCGUGGGGAGCGAACAGG
This 253-nucleotide ribosomal RNA is filed under the name uncultured bacterium. RNAcentral describes it as "partial 16S ribosomal RNA". It matches the Rfam family "Bacterial small subunit ribosomal RNA", at positions 524 to 776 of the family's 1533-position model. The record is from RNAcentral.